Molecule: ribosomal RNA, 253 nt
Filed under: uncultured bacterium
Lineage: Bacteria
Description: partial 16S ribosomal RNA
Rfam family: Bacterial small subunit ribosomal RNA
Source: RNAcentral
AACGUAGGAGGCAAGCGUUAUCCGGAUUCACUGGGCGUAAAGCGCGUGCAGGCGGUGCGGUAAGUUAGGCGUGAAAUCUCCCGGCUCAACUGGGAGAGGUCGUCUAAUACUACCGUACUUGAGAGCAGAAGAGGAAGAUGGAAUUCCCGGUGUAGUGGUGAAAUGCGUAGAUAUCGGGAGGAACACCAGUGGCGAAGGCGAUCUUCUGGUCUGUUUCUGACGCUCAGACGCGACAGCUAGGGUAGUAAACGGG